RNAcentral lists this ribosomal RNA (1444 nucleotides) under uncultured organism. Its description in RNAcentral is "SSU rRNA". It matches the Rfam family "Bacterial small subunit ribosomal RNA". The record is from RNAcentral.
UCUACAGGCUUAACACAUGCAAGUCGAGGGGCAGCAUGGUCUUAGCUUGCUAAGGCCGAUGGCGACCGGCGCACGGGUGAGUAACACGUAUCCAACCUGCCGUCUACUCUUGGACAGCCUUCUGAAAGGAAGAUUAAUACAAGAUGGCAUCAUGAGUCCGCAUGUUCACAUGAUUAAAGGUAUUCCGGUAGACGAUGGGGAUGCGUUCCAUUAGAUAGUAGGCGGGGUAACGGCCCACCUAGUCUUCGAUGGAUAGGGGUUCUGAGAGGAAGGUCCCCCACAUUGGAACUGAGACACGGUCCAAACUCCUACGGGAGGCAGCAGUGAGGAAUAUUGGUCAAUGGGCGAGAGCCUGAACCAGCCAAGUAGCGUGAAGGAUGACUGCCCUAUGGGUUGUAAACUUCUUUUAUAAAGGAAUAAAGUCGGGUAUGGAUACCCGUUUGCAUGUACUUUAUGAAUAAGGAUCGGCUAACUCCGUGCCAGCAGCCGCGGUAAUACGGAGGAUCCGAGCGUUAUCCGGAUUUAUUGGGUUUAAAGGGAGCGUAGAUGGAUGUUUAAGUCAGUUGUGAAAGUUUGCGGCUCAACCGUAAAAUUGCAGUUGAUACUGGAUAUCUUGAGUGCAGUUGAGGCAGGCGGAAUUCGUGGUGUAGCGGUGAAAUGCUUAGAUAUCACGAAGAACUCCGAUUGCGAAGGCAGCCUGCUAAGCUGCAACUGACAUUGAGGCUCGAAAGUGUGGGUAUCAAACAGGAUUAGAUACCCUGGUAGUCCACACGGUAAACGAUGAAUACUCGCUGUUUGCGAUAUACUGCAAGCGGCCAAGCGAAAGCGUUAAGUAUUCCACCUGGGGAGUACGCCGGCAACGGUGAAACUCAAAGGAAUUGACGGGGGCCCGCACAAGCGGAGGAACAUGUGGUUUAAUUCGAUGAUACGCGAGGAACCUUACCCGGGCUUAAAUUGCAGAUGAAUUACGGUGAAAGCCGUAAGCCGCAAGGCAUCUGUGAAGGUGCUGCAUGGUUGUCGUCAGCUCGUGCCGUGAGGUGUCGGCUUAAGUGCCAUAACGAGCGCAACCCUUGUUGUCAGUUACUAACAGGUUCCGCUGAGGACUCUGACAAGACUGCCAUCGUAAGAUGUGAGGAAGGUGGGGAUGACGUCAAAUCAGCACGGCCCUUACGUCCGGGGCUACACACGUGUUACAAUGGGGGGUACAGAGGGCCGCUACCACGCGAGUGGAUGCCAAUCCCCAAAACCUCUCUCAGUUCGGACUGGAGUCUGCAACCCGACUCCACGAAGCUGGAUUCGCUAGUAAUCGCGCAUCAGCCACGGCGCGGUGAAUACGUUCCCGGGCCUUGUACACACCGCCCGUCAAGCCAUGGGAGCCGGGGGUACCUGAAGUGCGUAACCGCGAGGAGCGCCCUAGGGUAAAACUGGUGACUGGGGCUAAAUC